GGCCAGAGACAACACAAAGGACAACACAGCAGGAGGUUCUCACUGGGAGGAAGUGCUCAUUUAUGUCCUGAGGUGCCUGCCCAUCCUCGCCCUCAUCAUCACCUUCUUCUUCAUCAAUAGUUUAGUGACCAAAGCUCAGCAACACGCACCAGCUGCUCCUGGAAAUGAACGCACUCCAGCCCUAAGGAGAGGGGAAACCCAAGAAGAAGAGGAAAGAGAUGCGAGGGAGAUAAAACCAGAGUAAAAGAGAGAGAAAAUCAACACGUGUCACCUUUAAUGAGAGGCUGAUGAUUAAGAUGUCAAAUAUAAACCGCACUGUCUCGAUCUCUUCUUGCUUUGACUUCAGCUGUGUUCUUGAAAGCAUGCCAUUAAAAAUAAUGCGAAACGGGUUACAGGAUAAGUAUCAUUUUUCUUCCAGAUUUUUGAAACAUACAUGAUUUACUGUAUAAAUACAGCACUUCAGUAACGGAAAGGGACAAUUCAUGAUUUGGUCUGAAGGUGGACCCAUAAACUUAAAUUAGAGCCUCUCUGUGAAGGGUCUUCUCACACUUUGAGGACCCCUAGUGGUGGCACUAAAAAUAUACACUAUAACACAACAAUUCAUGCCUGUACUCUUACAUGGAUCUGACCCUUGGACACAGAUGAAUGGUACGACCCAUUUAAUUAAAGACAGCACCAGUUCCCAACGGAUUUGUCUCAGUUUUCUGCAAACAACAACUCACACGCUCAGAGUGAUGUGAAAGAUAGCAUGUAGUCACUUAACAGCUGUAAACAUGAGGGUUUUAACCAAAGUAAAACUACAAAAUACCACCCAGUACACUUUUUGAAUGCUCCAAUGCUGGUAUUUAACUUACUAUACAGACACUAAAAUAUAUCAGGUGAACUAG
Long non-coding RNA from Anarrhichthys ocellatus (wolf-eel), 887 nucleotides. RefSeq lists it as uncharacterized. The transcript is spliced from 3 exons. The record is from RefSeq and is a predicted model, not a curated record. Lineage: Eukaryota; Metazoa; Chordata; Actinopteri; Perciformes; Anarhichadidae.